CAAAGGUUUGGUCCUAGCCUUUCCAUUAGUUAUAAAUAAGAUUACACAUGCAAGUAUCCGCAUCCCAGUGAAAAUGCCCUCCAAACCAUUUAUGAUCCAAAGGAGCAGGCAUCAAGCACGCAUUAAUGCAGCUCAUAACGCCUUGCUUAGCCACACCCCCACGGGAUACAGCAGUGAUAAAAAUUAAGCCAUGAACGAAAGUUCGACUAAGCUAUAUUUAAACCAGGGUUGGUAAAUUUCGUGCCAGCCACCGCGGUCAUACGAUUAACCCAAAUUAAUGGAUUCACGGCGUAAAGCGUGUCAAAGAACAAUCCCACAUUAAAGUUAAAACUUAACUGGGCCGUAAAAAGCUACAGCUAACACAAAAUAAGCCACGAAAGUAACUUUAACACUUCCAACUACACGAUAGCUAAGACCCAAACUGGGAUUAGAUACCCCACUAUGCUUAGCCCUAAACUCAGACAGUUAACUAAACAAAACUGUCCGCCAGAGAACUACUAGCAACAGCUUAAAACUCAAAGGACUUGGCGGUGCUUUACAUCCCUCUAGAGGAGCCUGUUCUAUAAUCGAUAAACCCCGAUAUACCUCACCACCCCUUGCUAAUUCAGUCUAUAUACCGCCAUCCUCAGCAAACCCUAAAAAGGAAGAAAAGUAAGCACAAAUAUCCUUACAUAAAAAAGUUAGGUCAAGGUGUAACCCAUGAGGUGGGAAGAAAUGGGCUACAUUUUCUACACCAGAACAAACCCUUCACGAAAGCCCUUAUGAAACCUAAGAGCUAAAGGAGGAUUUAGUAGUAAAUUAAGAAUAGAGAGCUUAAUUGAAUCGGGCCAUGAAGCACGCACACACCGCCCGUCACCCUCCUCAAGUAAUAUACUCAAGGACAACCUAUUCAAACAACAAAAACACAAGAGGAGACAAGUCGUAACAAGGUAAGCAUACUGGAAAGUGUGCUUGGAUUAC
RNAcentral lists this non-coding RNA (960 nucleotides) under Nandinia binotata (African palm civet). RNAcentral describes it as "12S ribosomal RNA". It matches the Rfam family "Bacterial small subunit ribosomal RNA". Lineage: Eukaryota; Metazoa; Chordata; Mammalia; Carnivora; Nandiniidae. The record is from RNAcentral.